GGUGUCCUACGGGAGGCAGCAGUGAGGAAUAUUGGUCAAUGGGCGCGAGCCUGAACCAGCCACGUCGCGUGAGGGAAGACGGUCCUAUGGAUUGUAAACCUCUUUUGUCGGGGAGCAAAAGACGCCACGUGUGGCGUUCCGAGAGUACCCGAAGAAAAAGCAUCGGCUAACUCCGUGCCAGCAGCCGCGGUAAUACGGAGGAUGCGAGCGUUAUCCGGAUUUAUUGGGUUUAAAGGGUGCGUAGGCGGUUUGAUAAGUUAGAGGUGAAAUGUCGGGGCUCAACCCCGAAACUGCCUCUAAUACUG
RNAcentral lists this ribosomal RNA (305 nucleotides) under uncultured bacterium. RNAcentral describes it as "bacterial SSU rRNA". It matches the Rfam family "Bacterial small subunit ribosomal RNA", at positions 333 to 635 of the family's 1533-position model. The record is from RNAcentral.